UCCAAUCGCGAUGCACCCGCCUCCCCAACAGGCUAUAUAUAGCAUGAUAUGAUCAUUAUCUGUCUGCUACCAACAGGGUACUGACAGAUGUCUUUAUUCCUCUUAAAGAUAGGAGAUUAUCUGUGGACUUUUCAGCUGCAAUUGACUGGUCCUUGAUUUUUGCUGCAAACGACUAUCCUUUGACUUUCUAUCACCAGCUGAUGUUUGCUUGCACUCAGACUGUUCAUCUAGUUAAAUACUCCAUAUGAAUUGAGGCUCUUCAGUGCCCAUGUUAUUGUCUUACUUAAUUCCCCUGUAUUCACCUUGAUUUUAUUACGCUUCAAGUCCUGUCAGUUGAACUUGGAUUUCAAUAUCCACCCUGAGGGGGUUUUUCCUUGACUGGCUGUGCAUGAAGCUAGGAGUAAUCUAGAGAGACGAUCUUGUCCUAAUUCCCCUGAAGAAGCCAAGAGGCGAAACUAGUAGGGUCGACCUGAUCGAAAAAAUUAUUUCUAGAUCUUGCUC
Molecule: long non-coding RNA, 501 nt
Organism: Rana temporaria (common frog)
Lineage: Eukaryota; Metazoa; Chordata; Amphibia; Anura; Ranidae
Exons: 5
Source: RefSeq, a predicted model, not a curated record